Molecule: ribosomal RNA, 193 nt
Filed under: Mantidactylus majori (Ivohimanita Madagascar frog)
Lineage: Eukaryota; Metazoa; Chordata; Amphibia; Anura; Mantellidae
Description: partial 16S ribosomal RNA
Rfam family: Bacterial large subunit ribosomal RNA
Source: RNAcentral
UAUCCUGGACCGUGCGAAGGUAGCAUAAUCACUUGUUCUUUAAAUGGGGACUUGUAUCAACGGCAUCACGAGGGUUUUACUGUCUCCUUUUUCUAAUCAGCGAAACUAAUCUCCCCGUGAAGAAGCGGGGAUAUUUAUAUAAGACGAGAAGACCCCAUGGAGCUUCAAACCCAAUUACACCCCCCCCCCCCCC